Molecule: long non-coding RNA, 357 nt
Filed under: Nicotiana benthamiana
Lineage: Eukaryota; Viridiplantae; Streptophyta; Magnoliopsida; Solanales; Solanaceae
Description: long non-coding RNA (NBEN_LNC016706)
Source: RNAcentral
ACUGAAUCUGAUGAAUCCAAAACAGAUGGAAGCCAAUCAGUGGCAAUCCAAACAUAGCCACUGGUCAUCAUACCCAGAUUCUUUGCCUUAGAGAAAAAUGAUAGUCCAGUAUAAGGAUUUACAUGAACAAUAUAAACUAGCGCCUCCAUAAGGUUUACACUGGCUAACAAGCAGGAUUUACAUGAACAAUAUAAACUCGUGCCUCCAUAAGGUUUAUGCUGGCUAACAAGUCAUCGAUCUCACUCCUACUAGCUCCAGGAGUUAAGGCUGCUUUAUAAGAUAUCUUGGCCCGCUUCUUUGCAAGGGCAUCACCCAACACAGAUAUCCCAUUUCUACCAUUAUCAUCAUCGACAAAUA